CAGGAUUAGAUACCCUGGUAGUCCACGCCGUAAACGAUGUCGACUUGGAGGUUGUGCCCUUGAGGCGUGGCUUCCGGAGCUAACGCGUUAAGUCGACCGCCUGGGGAGUACGGCCGCAAGGUUAAAACUCAAAUGAAUUGACGGGGGCCCGCACAAGCGGUGGAGCAUGUGGUUUAAUUCGAUGCAACGCGAAGAACCUUACCUGGUCUUGACAUCCUCAGAACUUUCCAGAGAUGGAUUGGUGCCUUCGGGAACUGUGAGACAGGUGCUGCAUGGCUGUCGUCAGCUCGUGUUGUGAAAUGUUGGGUUAAGUCCCGCAACGAGCGCAACCCUUAUCCUUUGUUGCCAGCGGUCCGGCCGGGAACUCAAAGGAGACUGCCAGUGAUAAACUGGAGGAAGGUGGGGAUGACGUCAAGUCAUCAUGGCCCUUACGACCAGGGCUACACACGUGCUACAAUGGCGCAUACAAAGAGAAGCGACCUCGCGAGAGCAAGCGGACCUCAUAAAGUGCGUCGUAGUCCGGAUUGGAGUCUGCAACUCGACUCCAUGAAGUCGGAAUCGCUAGUAAUCGUGGAUCAGAAUGCCACGGUGAAUACGUUCCCGGGCCUUGUACACACCGCCCGUCACACCAUGGGAGUGGGUUGCAAAAGAAGUAGGUAGCUUAACCUUCGGGAGGGCGCUUACCACUUUGUGAUUCAUGACUGGGGUGAAGUCGUAACAAGGUAACC
Molecule: ribosomal RNA, 728 nt
Filed under: uncultured bacterium
Lineage: Bacteria
Description: bacterial SSU rRNA
Rfam family: Bacterial small subunit ribosomal RNA
Source: RNAcentral